AAAUUGCCGUUAUCUCGACUAAAGUCACAGUUCAUACGGCAAAAUGAAUGCAUCAUUGCAUUUUUAUGUGCCUUUAUCACCCAAAAAUAUUUCAAUGGAAGAAAAUAUUAACAGCAAUAAGUAAAUAACAUCAUCAUGUGCGAGAUGUCACGUAGACAUUUGCAAGUUUGCGGCAGAGGCGAGAGGAGUGCUAAUCAGAUUCGGAAUCACUGUCUAUUACGGCAAUUCGGCGUUUUUUGGAAGCAUAAUUGACAAUAAUCGUAAAAGUGCCACCUGAAAUGUUACUCGAUCCAAAAACUGAAGAUAUGUGGUCGCGUUUCAUUGAAGAAGUGCAUGAAACCGACGAAGCACAUGUUGAGUUCGAAGCAGGCGGCAUGGUAGCAACCGGACACACCUCGCUAUACCGCGAACAGCUGGCAUUGUUUACCUCCCUGUUCACCUCAGAAGAACGCGGUACAAGUGCUCUGGUCUUUGAUCCUGAAAGAAUGGAGGAUGUUUCCCUGUGUUGUUCAGAGUUAAUAUGGGAAUAAUUUUUGAUGCUGUGUACGUUUUUGUGGCCUGAUAUCUGCAUAAUGUGAGACGGUGGGAUGUUUGCAUCGUUCAACUUUUGCACCAAAUAUUUACGGGCACUGUGGUUUGUCAGUUUCUUGUCACUUGACAUUCCCGCAGAAGUUACCAUGCGUUUCAUUAUGGAUUCAAUUUUGUGGAUACCAACAGUUUGCCUUCUAAACCAUGGACCUGGUAAUGAACCUUGAUUUUGACAGUGGAGCUUGCAAUGUAGAAAGGUCUAUCUGGAGUUGAGUAAUCGCCAGGUCUCAAACUACGGUAGAGCUUAUACAUUUCAAUGGGACAAUGAGCUUUAUUUUUUGGAGUGGCAAACAUUUUAGGAGUAACAUCCCUAGUGCCCUUGGGAUCGGAACCUUGUCUUGUCUUGGAUACCCUUUCUGUGAAAUCGAGAUACUCCAGACUAUUUGUGUCAACGCGAAGCUCAACAUCCCCCCACAACAUUUUUUUGUGUUCGUCGGACCCACGGAGACCAAAAUGUGUGGUGUUAUUAAACCAAAGAGUGUUAAUUAUGGCAUCUGGCGACGAAUUUCCAAAUUGUUUGGUCUCCCACAACAUUUCAAUUUCAUUGUCGGAUAUAGCGUCACACCUGUUUGGGAGUGUACGGGACUCGCUCGACCCUGGAGUUGUGCAACUUGAACUUGACCUUGAUGACGUUAACGCUGACGGCUGCCCACCUGAUCUCUUUGAUGUGCCGAUGAGCUUGAUUCUGGUCUCCAUUAGCUCCAUUUCGUAGUCUAUUCCAUCCAGUCUACACCGAUAGUUUCCUUCACCAACAUUCUUAACAAUUGUUGCUUGCCCAGACCCAUCAAUUGACACUUUGUCACCUGAAUAAAACUUUUUGAUGUUUA
Molecule: long non-coding RNA, 1415 nt
Organism: Haliotis rufescens (red abalone)
Lineage: Eukaryota; Metazoa; Mollusca; Gastropoda; Lepetellida; Haliotidae
Exons: 2
Source: RefSeq, a predicted model, not a curated record